RNAcentral lists this ribosomal RNA (746 nucleotides) under uncultured marine bacterium. Its description in RNAcentral is "bacterial SSU rRNA". It matches the Rfam family "Bacterial small subunit ribosomal RNA", at positions 14 to 794 of the family's 1533-position model. The record is from RNAcentral.
UGAUCCUGGCUCAGAACGAACGCUUGCUGCAUGCUUUAUACAUGCAAGUCGAACGAAGGCCCUAGCUUGCUAGGUGUCCUUAGUGGCGCACGGGUGAGUAACACGUGGGAACAUACCUCAUAGUACGGAAUAACUGCGGGAAACUGUAGCUAAUACCGUAUAUUCCAGAAAUGGGAAAGAUUUAUCGCUAUGAGAUUGGCCCGCGCAAGAUUAGCUUGUUGGUAAGGUAAUGGCUUACCAAGGCUCCGAUCUUUAGCUGGUUUGAGAGGAUGAUCAGCCACACUGGGACUGAGACACGGCCCAGACUCCUACGGGAGGCAGCAGUAGGGAAUAUUGGACAAUGGGGGAAACCCUGAUCCAGCAAUGCAGCGUGAGCGACGAAGGCCUUAGGGUUGUAAAACUCUUUCAUCGGUGAGGAUAAUGACAGUAGCCGAAGAAGAAGGACCGGCUAAUUCCGUGCCAGCAGCCGCGGUAAUACGGAAGGUCCUAGCGUUGUUCGGAAUUACUGGGCGUAAAGCGCAUGUAGGCGGAACAAAAAGUUAGAAGUGAAAUCCCUGGGCUCAACCUAGGAAUGGCUUUUAAAACUUUUGUUCUGGAAUUCAGGAGAGGAAAAUGGAAUUUCCAGUGUAGAGGUGAAAUUCGUAGAUAUUGGAAGGAACACCAGUGGCGAAGGCGAUUUUCUGGACUGAUAUUGACGCUGAGAUGCGAAGGCAUGGGUAGCAAACGGGAUUAGAUACCCCGGUAGU